GGGAUUUUGACUGAAAAUGGCUUUCAUAGCAAAGUCAGAUCUUUAUUAUUGGAUGUGACAAUUCCAUUGACAAAGAAUGAAUGGCAAGGUGAUUUCAUAAUUAGGUCUUUAUUUGAACAAGGAUACACCCAGAAGGAGAUGUUAAUGAUGCGUGACAGUAAUUUCGAUAUAAAAAUUUUAGAUCGACACUUAAGGCGAAUUUUGAAACGUUUAGGAUUAAGGCGAAGAUGUAAUGACCGCCCUUUUGAAGCAAUUUUUCAGGCGGUUCAGGGUGAGCUUCAAAACUGGUCUCCUUUUAAAGGUAUAAGAGCAAUGCACAAGCGCAUUAGCGAUGUUAGAGGAGUUCAACCCUGCUAUAGGUAAUAUAUAUAUAUAUU
This is a long non-coding RNA of Bufo bufo (common toad), 377 nucleotides long. RefSeq lists it as uncharacterized. The transcript is spliced from 4 exons. The record is from RefSeq and is a predicted model, not a curated record. Lineage: Eukaryota; Metazoa; Chordata; Amphibia; Anura; Bufonidae.